AACAGGUUAUUCGCGGUGCAGUGUGAUAGUGGAAUAUACUGCAUCACGUGUAACCUCCCUA
This 61-nucleotide microRNA precursor is filed under the name Ornithorhynchus anatinus (platypus). Its description in RNAcentral is "Oan-Mir-1421-P5_pre stem-loop". It matches the Rfam family "mir-1421 microRNA precursor family", at positions 8 to 68 of the family's 74-position model. Lineage: Eukaryota; Metazoa; Chordata; Mammalia; Monotremata; Ornithorhynchidae. The record is from RNAcentral.